UCGAGCGAUGAAGCUUCCUUCGGGAAGUGGAUUAGCGGCGGACGGGUGAGUAACACGUGGGUAACCUGCCUCAAAGUGGGGGAUAGCCUUCCGAAAGGAAGAUUAAUACCGCAUAAUAUAGGAGAAUUGCAUGAUUUUCUUAUCAAAGAUUUAUUGCUUUGAGAUGGACCCGCGGCGCAUUAGCUAGUUGGUAAGGUAACGGCUUACCAAGGCAACGAUGCGUAGCCGACCUGAGAGGGUGAUCGGCC
This 248-nucleotide ribosomal RNA is filed under the name Clostridium botulinum. RNAcentral's name for it is "partial 16S ribosomal RNA". It matches the Rfam family "Bacterial small subunit ribosomal RNA", at positions 62 to 309 of the family's 1533-position model. The record is from RNAcentral. Lineage: Bacteria; Bacillati; Bacillota; Clostridia; Eubacteriales; Clostridiaceae.